AGGUGGAUCAACCAAUAUCCACACAUUGUUGUUCUUCAUGGACUCCAUUUUGGAUUUCAUGGCUUCAAACCAUUUCUCAAAGUCAGAUCUCUGCAUUGCAUCCAUAUAGGUGACUAGAUCCUCAUUGUUCUCAUCGAGCUCAAUAGGAUCUCCAUCUUGGACCAAAAAAUCUAGGUAUCUGUCUGGCUGAUGUGGUACUCCAUC
Molecule: long non-coding RNA, 204 nt
Filed under: Elaeis guineensis (African oil palm)
Lineage: Eukaryota; Viridiplantae; Streptophyta; Magnoliopsida; Arecales; Arecaceae
Description: long non-coding RNA (EGUI_LNC058914)
Source: RNAcentral